AUUGAACGCUGGCGGCAGGCCUAACACAUGCAAGUCGAGCGGAUGAAGGGAGCUUGCUCCUGGAUUCAGCGGCGGACGGGUGAGUAAUGCCUAGGAAUCUGCCUGGUAGUGGGGGAUAACGUCCGGAAACGGGCGCUAAUACCGCAUACGUCCUGAGGGAGAAAGUGGGGGAUCUUCGGACCUCACGCUAUCAGAUGAGCCUAGGUCGGAUUAGCUAGUUGGUGGGGUAAAGGCCUACCAAGGCGACGAUCCGUAACUGGUCUGAGAGGAUGAUCAGUCACACUGGAGCUGAGACACGGUCCAGACUCCUACGGGAGGCAGCAGUGGGGAAUAUUGGACAAUGGGCGCAAGCCUGAUCCAGCCAUGCCGCGUGUGUGAAGAAGGCCUUCGGAUUGUAAAGCACUUUAAGUGGGGAGGAAGGGCAGUAAGUUAAUACCUUGCUGUUUUGACGUUACCAACAGAAUAAGCACCGGCUAACUUCGUG
This 484-nucleotide ribosomal RNA is filed under the name uncultured bacterium. RNAcentral describes it as "partial 16S ribosomal RNA". It matches the Rfam family "Bacterial small subunit ribosomal RNA", at positions 30 to 507 of the family's 1533-position model. The record is from RNAcentral.